UUCUCAAUCGAGUGGCGAACGGGUGAGUAACGCGUGAGGAACCUGCCUCAAAGAGGGGGACAACAGUUGGAAACGACUGCUAAUACCGCAUAAGCCCACAGCUCGGCAUCGAGCAGAGGGAAAAGGAGUGAUCCGCUUUGAGAUGGCCUCGCGUCCGAUUAGCUAGUUGGUGAGGUAACGGCCCACCAAGGCGACGAUCGGUAGCCGGACUGAGAGGUUGAACGGCCACAUUGGGACUGAGACACGGCCCAGACUCCUACGGGAGGCAGCAGUGGGGAAUAUUGCACAAUGGGGGAAACCCUGAUGCAGCGACGCCGCGUGGAGGAAGAAGGUCUUCGGAUUGUAAACUCCUGUUGUUGAGGAAGAUAAUGACGGUACUCAACAAGGAAGUGACGGCUAACUACGUGCCAGCAGCCGCGGUAAAACGUAGGUCACAAGCGUUGUCCGGAAUUACUGGGUGUAAAGGGAGCGCAGGCGGGAGAACAAGUUGGAAGUGAAAUCCAUGGGCUCAACCCAUGAACUGCUUUCAAAACUGUUUUUCUUGAGUAGUGCAGAGGUAGGCGGAAUUCCCGGUGUAGCGGUGGAAUGCGUAGAUAUCGGGAGGAACACCAGUGGCGAAGGCGGCCUACUGGGCACCAACUGACGCUGAGGCUCGAAAGUGUGGGUAGCAAACAGGAUUAGAUACCCUGGUAGUCCACACCGUAAACGAUGAUUACUAGGUGUUGGAGGAUUGACCCCUUCAGUGCCGCAGUUAACACAAUAAGUAAUCCACCUGGGGAGUA
Molecule: ribosomal RNA, 782 nt
Filed under: uncultured bacterium
Lineage: Bacteria
Description: bacterial SSU rRNA
Rfam family: Bacterial small subunit ribosomal RNA
Source: RNAcentral